This 2012-nucleotide ribosomal RNA is filed under the name Torridincolidae sp. BMNH703452. Its description in RNAcentral is "SSU rRNA". It matches the Rfam family "Eukaryotic small subunit ribosomal RNA". The record is from RNAcentral. Lineage: Eukaryota; Metazoa; Arthropoda; Insecta; Coleoptera; Torridincolidae.
UGCUUGUCUCAAGAUUAAGCCAUGCAUGUCUCAGUACAAGCCAUAUUAAGGUGAAACCGCGAAAGGCUCAUUAAAUCAGUUAUGGUUCCUUAGAUCGUACCCACAUUUACUUGGAUAACUGUGGUAAUUCUAGAGCUAAUACAUGCAAACAGAGUCCCGACCGGAGACGGAAGGGAUGCUUUUAUUAGAUCAAAACCGAUCGGCGUGCGCGUGCCGUCCCUUCGGGGCGUGCACCGCCGCCGCUAACGAUGGUGAAUCUGAAUAACUUUCUGCUGAUCGCACGGUCUAGAACCGGCGACGCAUCUUUCAAAUGUCUGCCUUAUCAACUGUCGAUGGUAGGUUCUUCGCCUACCAUGGUUGUAACGGGUAACGGGGAAUCAGGGUUCGAUUCCGGAGAGGGAGCCUGAGAAACGGCUACCACAUCCAAGGAAGGCAGCAGGCGCGCAAAUUACCCACUCCCGGCACGGGGAGGUAGUGACGAAAAAUAACGAUACGGGACUCAUCCGAGGCCCCGUAAUCGGAAUGAGUACACUUUAAAUCCUUUAACGAGGAUCAAUUGGAGGGCAAGUCUGGUGCCAGCAGCCGCGGUAAUUCCAGCUCCAAUAGCGUAUAUUAAAGUUGUUGCGGUUAAAAAGCUCGUAGUUGGACUUGUGUACCGCGCUGUCGGUUCAUCGCUCGCGGUGCUAACUGGCAUGCUGCGGUACGUCCUGCCGGUGGGCGACUGUCGGACGGUGUCGUUCGGUGCGGUAGCCGCGUGUGCGUUAGCGCGCACACCGGUCCCACCGCGCCCGGUCGGCGGCCCAACUUGAAAUCCUGCCGCGGUGCUCUUAGCUGAGUGUCGCAGCGGGCCGGCACGUUUACUUUGAACAAAUUAGAGUGCUUAAAGCAGGCUAUAAAUCUCGCCUGAAUAUUGUGUGCAUGGAAUAAUGGAAUAGGACCUCGGUUCUAUUUUGUUGGUUUUCGGAAAUCCGAGGUAAUGAUUAAUAGGGACAGAUGGGGGCAUUCGUAUUGCGACGUUAGAGGUGAAAUUCUUGGAUCGUCGCAAGACGGACAGAAGCGAAAGCAUUUGCCAAAAAUGUUUUCAUUAAUCAAGAACGAAAGUUAGAGGUUCGAAGGCGAUCAGAUACCGCCCUAGUUCUAACCAUAAACGAUGCCAGCUAGCGAUCCGCCGACGUUCCUCCGAUGACUCGGCGGGCAGCUUACGGGAAACCAAAGCUUUUGGGUUCCGGGGGAAGUAUGGUUGCAAAGCUGAAACUUAAAGGAAUUGACGGAAGGGCACCACCAGGAGUGGAGCCUGCGGCUUAAUUUGACUCAACACGGGAAAUCUCACCAGGCCCAGACACCGGAAGGAUUGACAGAUUGAUAGCUCUUUCUUGAUUCGGUGGGUGGUGGUGCAUGGCCGUUCUUAGUUGGUGGAGCGAUUUGUCUGGUUAAUUCCGAUAACGAACGAGACUCUAGCCUGCUAACUAGGCGUACACAAUUUUCCGGUAUCCCGAAGGCCCGGCGGUGCGUGUCGAUGUCGGUGCUGUGCGUUCUCACGGCGGCGCGUUAGCGGUACGCCGCGCGCGUCCCGGACGUUCGCACGCCCGAUGUCACCGCUGCCGUCCGCGGUUUUUACUACCGGCGUACUUCAAAUUCUUCUUAGAGGGACAGGCGGCUUCUAGCCGCACGAGAUUGAGCAAUAACAGGUCUGUGAUGCCCUUAGAUGUUCUGGGCCGCACGCGCGCUACACUGAAGGAAUCAGCGUGUCAUCCCUGGCCGAAAGGCCCGGGUAACCCGCUGAACCUCCUUCGUGCUAGGGAUUGGGGCUUGCAAUUGUUCCCCAUGAACGAGGAAUUCCCAGUAAGCGCGAGUCAUAAGCUCGCGUUGAUUACGUCCCUGCCCUUUGUACACACCGCCCGUCGCUACUACCGAUUGAAUGAUUUAGUGAGGUCUUCGGACCGGUGCGCCGCGCUGUUCCGACAGGGCGGUAGUUGCUGGGAAGAUGACCAAACUUGAUCAUUAGAGGAAGU